Molecule: ribosomal RNA, 497 nt
Filed under: uncultured bacterium
Lineage: Bacteria
Description: partial 16S ribosomal RNA
Rfam family: Bacterial small subunit ribosomal RNA
Source: RNAcentral
GAUGAACGCUGGCGGCGUGCCUAAUACAUGCAAGUCGAGCGAACGGACGAGAAGCUUGCUUCUCUGAUGUUAGCGGCGGACGGGUGAGUAACACGUGGAUAACCUACCUAUAAGACUGGAAUAACUUCGGGAAACCGUAGCUAAUACCGGAUAAUAUUUUGAACCGCAUGGUUCAAAAGUGAAAGACGGUCUUGCUGUCACUUAUAGAUGGAUCCGCGCUGCAUUAGCUAGUUGGUAAGGUAACGGCUUACCAAGGCAACGAUGCAUAGCCGACCUGAGAGGGUGAUCGGCCACACUGGAACUGAGACACGGUCCAGACUCCUACGGGAGGCAGCAGUAGGGAAUCUUCCGCAAUGGGCGAAAGCCUGACGGAGCAACGCCGCGUGAGUGAUGAAGGUCUUCGGAUCGUAAAACUCUGUUAUUAGGGAAGAACAUAUGUGUAAGUAACUGUGCACAUCUUGACGGUACCUAAUCAGAAAGCCACGGCUAACUACGUG